This 500-nucleotide ribosomal RNA is filed under the name uncultured bacterium. RNAcentral's name for it is "bacterial SSU rRNA". It matches the Rfam family "Bacterial small subunit ribosomal RNA", at positions 28 to 512 of the family's 1533-position model. The record is from RNAcentral.
GACGAACGCUGGCGGUGUGCUUAACACAUGCAAGUGGUGCGACGAACCAGGCUUCGGCCUGGGGCAAAGCCGCGAACGGGUGAGUAACACGUGGGUAAUCUGCCCCGAUGACUGGGACAACCCGAGGAAACUCGGGCUAAUACCGGAUGUGGUGCCUGGACAUAAGUCUGGUCACUAAAGGUAGCUUCGGCUUCCGCAUUGGGAGGGGCCCGCGGCCCAUUAGCUUGUUGGUGGGGUCAAGGCCUACCAAGGCAACGAUGGGUAGCUGGUCUGAGAGGACGAUCAGCCACACUGGGACUGAGACACGGCCCAGACUCCUACGGGAGGCAGCAGUGGGGAAUCUUGCGCAAUGCGCGAAAGCGUGAUGCAGCAACACCGCGUGAGGGAAGACGGCCUUAGGGUUGUAAAACCCCUUUCAGACUGGGACGAAGGUGAUGCGGUGAAUAGCCGAUGUCAUUGACGGUACCGUCAGAAGAAGCUCCGGCUAAACUCGUGCCAGC